UGGUGACUUUGGUGAUUUUCUGCCUUGUGCUUCUGGCUACUGCAAGUGCUUUGCCUGCCCUGAAGUUGCUGGGCAAAGGAGCUUCUCCAAACAACUCUUCCAAACUCAGGUUUAACAGAGGUGACCAUCUGGGCGUGAUUGUGCCAUUUAUUGAGGCGGAUAUUCAGUGUAUGAGGAAGACUCUUCACCCUCGUUGAAGUAUAACUGUAAACACGGGAUCUGUUAGCCUCUUUCUUCAGAAUCCAUUGUCUACAGAAAUGACUACACCUUGAGACACCCUUCCCACCCCCUGCCCCAUAGAGAUUGCCAAAAAUGGUUCUGAAUCCUCACAUCCCCAGGGUUAGGUGUGCUUUUUUCUCAGCAUAGUACCCCCAUUACUUGUUUCAAAUGACAGGAAGCCAUAGUGGAGGAGUAUAAUAAGGUCGAGAAAUGAAAUAUUUCCAAGCCCUUGGUGAUCCAUCAAAACACAAGAAAUGUGUAAUUGACAUUCAGCCAAGUUUCUGGAGUGGAAUUCAAAACAGUUUGUUAAAAGACAAAGCAUUGCCCUUCAAAAAUAACACACAGUGUAUUUCAUUUUUGAUAGCUGACCAUCACCAUUUAUUAACAUGAUUUAUCAGAAAUCACUAAAAUUAAUAAUAAUGAUCUAAUAAUAACAACUAUGUGCCAAGCACUGUUCU
Molecule: long non-coding RNA, 677 nt
Organism: Ornithorhynchus anatinus (platypus)
Lineage: Eukaryota; Metazoa; Chordata; Mammalia; Monotremata; Ornithorhynchidae
Exons: 3
Source: RefSeq, a predicted model, not a curated record